Molecule: ribosomal RNA, 411 nt
Filed under: uncultured bacterium
Lineage: Bacteria
Description: bacterial SSU rRNA
Rfam family: Archaeal small subunit ribosomal RNA
Source: RNAcentral
AGUGAAUAGAUACCCGGGUAGUCCUAGCCGUAAACGAUACUCGCUAGGUGUCGGCCACGGUGCGACCGUUGUCGGUGCCGUAGGGAAAGCCGUGAAGCGAGCCACCUGGGAAGUACGGCCGCAAGGCUGAAACUUAAAGGAAUUGGCGGGGGAGCACCACAACGGGUGGAGCUUGCGGUUUAAUUGGAUUCAACGCCGGAAAUCUUACCGGGACCGACAGCAAUAUGAAGGCCAGGCUGAAGACUUUGCCGGAUUAGCUGAGAGGUGGUGCAUGGCCGUCGUCAGUUCGUACUGUGAAAGCAUCCUGUUAAGUCAGGCAACGAGCGAGACCCACGCCCACAGUUGCCAGCGUACUCUCUGGAGUGACGGGUACACUGUGGGGACCGCCGCUGCUAAAGCGGAGGAAGGAAU